RNAcentral lists this ribosomal RNA (756 nucleotides) under uncultured bacterium. RNAcentral describes it as "bacterial SSU rRNA". It matches the Rfam family "Bacterial small subunit ribosomal RNA", at positions 40 to 824 of the family's 1533-position model. The record is from RNAcentral.
CGGCGUGCCUAACACAUGCAAGUCGAGCGAUCUUCUUCGGAAGAGAGCGGCGGACGGGUGAGUAACGCGUGGGUAACCUGCCCUGUACACACGGAUAACAUACCGAAAGGUAUGCUAAUACGGGAUAAUAUAUGAGAGUUGCAUAACUUUCAUAUCAAAGCUUUUGCGGUACAGGAUGGACCCGCGUCUGAUUAGCUAGUUGGUAAGGUAACGGCUUACCAAGGCUACGAUCAGUAGCCGACCUGAGAGGGUGAUCGGCCACACUGGAACUGAGACACGGUCCAGACUCCUACGGGAGGCAGCAGUGGGGAAUAUUGCACAAUGGGCGAAAGCCUGAUGCAGCAACGCCGCGUGAGCGAUGAAGGCCUUCGGGUCGUAAAGCUCUGUCCUCAAGGAAGAUAAUGACGGUACUUGAGGAGGAAGCCCCGGCUAACUACGUGCCAGCAGCCGCGGUAAUACGUAGGGGGCUAGCGUUAUCCGGAAUUACUGGGCGUAAAGGGUGCGUAGGUGGUUUUUUAAGUCAGAAGUGAAAGGCUACGGCUCAACCGUAGUAAGCUUUUGAAACUAAAGAACUUGAGUGCAGGAGAGGAGAGUAGAAUUCCUAGUGUAGCGGUGAAAUGCGUAGAUAUUAGGAGGAAUACCAGUAGCGAAGGCGGCUCUCUGGACUGUAACUGACACUGAGGCACGAAAGCGUGGGGAGCAAACAGGAUUAGAUACCCUGGUAGUCCACACCGUAAACGUUGGGCACUAGGUGUA